RNAcentral lists this long non-coding RNA (358 nucleotides) under Gossypium raimondii (Peruvian cotton). Its description in RNAcentral is "long non-coding RNA (GRAI_LNC003637)". The record is from RNAcentral. Lineage: Eukaryota; Viridiplantae; Streptophyta; Magnoliopsida; Malvales; Malvaceae.
UAAAUAUUUUGAAGACUGACGUGCCUUAUCCUACAACGGAACCCCAAUACUGUUCUCUUAAUGAAGUGUCCUAUGAAUACACGGAAGAUUCUGAGACCAGGCUUGACGUGGGGCUUUCUGGUUGUGAAACAAAGGAACCUCAGUAUUGUUCUCUUAAUGAAGUGUCCUAUGAAUACACGGAAGAUUCUGAGACCAGGCUUGACAUGGGGCUUUCUGGUUGUGAAACAAAGGAACCUCAGUAUUGUUCUCUUAAUGAAGUGUCCUAUGAAUACAUGGAAGAUUCUGAGACCAGGCUUGACGUGGGGCUUUCUGGCGCUGAAACAAAGGAACGUCAGUAUUGUUCUCUUAAUGAAGUGUC